AAAUUAAUCAUUUAAUUUAACUUAGUUUUAUAACUAAAUUAGUUUGGCAGUGAGUUACUCCUAUCAGGGCAAGGUGUGUUAUAAAGGACGAUCCGCCUAUUAAUUUACCUUGGUUAUGUUGGUGUAUAUCUGGUUUAAUAUUAUUGCUUAGUUGCUUGAAUUUGUGUAUUAAUCUUUAAGCUAAGUCUAUGUGCUGCAUGCCAAGGUUUUCAUGCGUUACAUUAAUAAAGUUUAACUUUGUAACAAGGUAAUAUUUAGGACUUGAUAGUAAUAUUAAAUUAAUUUGUUGAUGUGAAAUUGGUUUAGCUCAGGUACACACCG
Molecule: ribosomal RNA, 321 nt
Filed under: Diphyllobothrium sp. PVNG-2001
Lineage: Eukaryota; Metazoa; Platyhelminthes; Cestoda; Diphyllobothriidea; Diphyllobothriidae
Description: partial 12S small subunit ribosomal RNA
Source: RNAcentral